Molecule: non-coding RNA, 155 nt
Organism: Populus trichocarpa (black cottonwood)
Lineage: Eukaryota; Viridiplantae; Streptophyta; Magnoliopsida; Malpighiales; Salicaceae
Source: Rfam
UCUAGAACUCAAGAUAUGAGCUGAACACGGAAGAGUGUCUGGGCUGCGGGACAGAUUCGGACUUCUCCGUUGUUGCUAUAAUUUGGACUUGAAAACGGCCUUUUUAAAUCUUGAACUCCAUAUGAAAUUUUAGGUCUAUAUCUUAGCUUUCCAUC